GAAAAACUAGAACUCGGACUUAUCCAGCUCUCUGGAGAGAGAGACAUGAUAAGUGAGCAGGAGGCCAGGGCAGGGCAGGGGAGCUGCAGGGUGGUGGGAGGGGCCCCAGUGUCUGAGCCUGUCCUCCCGCAGGAAAGUCCAUCAAACCAAAUGACCAUCAGACAGCAGUGGUCAAGACCCAGCACCAGAAGAAGUACGAUGUUAGCAUGCUGUCCGAGGCCGAGGAGGGGAUCAAGGUGAAGCUGCUGGAGCUGCAGGGCCCAGUGACGCAGCUUAUGAUCGGCCACGAGGUCCAGCACCCUGCUAAUGAUUCCACUCCAGGGGCCCCAGCCCCCCAGGAGCUUGGUGCUGCUGACAAGGAUGUAUUUUAUGAGAUGAGCCCGGACGACGACAGCGACAGCCUGGAGCCUGCAGGAGGGAGGGUACACCACACCCCACUGCACAGCAGAUUGCUCACGGCUGUGUGAGCUGCAGGAUGGCCAGCAACACUGACCCUUGGGCAGCAGUCCCUCUAUGCCAUGCUUUUACCGGGCUGCUGCGAAGGAGGUAAACAUCACCAUCAGCUAAGAGCUGGCCAAGAAAUUUACAAAGGAACAAAGUUAUACGGUUAAUCUUCUACAUGUUACUUUAUUUGAAUGUUAGAGCCACUCAUGAUGAUUUGUGUUUCUAAUUUAUAGUUUAUUUGUAAUAAGUUAAAGGGAGUGGGUCUUCGUGUGGCUUUCACUGAUGUCCACUCUGGCAUCCUUUAGCGUCUUUAAUUUGAUAAUCGUAGGUCAUUAGCAUGCCUAUCGAGUUUGCCCUUACGUGGUGGGAGUUCAAACACACAAAGACCCACUAUCGGCACAAAACCAUUCUCGCUAGUUUGGAAUAGGCUGCCAUGGUUUUUAACGUUAUUGCAGCAUGUAUAUUCAUUAUGGAAUUCAGAUACAAUUUGCUUAUGUUCUGCUAUGGUAGUUGAUGGACUCCUGAUCACAGUGAGCUCUUAAUUAGCUCAAUGUGUGCUUUGCCCUCACGUGCACACUGUUUAUUAUUUGUAAGGUGCCACUAUGUGUACUGACAUCUAGAGUUGUUGAAAAGCCGAGAACUGGAAACAGCCUUUCUUCCAUUUUCUGUGCAUUGCAAAUGGGAGUAAUAACAUUUUUGGGAGCUUUUAACAUCUCACAGAAGAGGAAAGUGGCCUGCUCUGGCAGGUAUGUGCAGAAU
RNAcentral lists this long non-coding RNA (1203 nucleotides) under Cebus imitator (Panamanian white-faced capuchin). Its description in RNAcentral is "lncRNA (ENSCCAG00000038269.1)". The record is from RNAcentral. Lineage: Eukaryota; Metazoa; Chordata; Mammalia; Primates; Cebidae.